This 437-nucleotide ribosomal RNA is filed under the name uncultured bacterium. RNAcentral describes it as "bacterial SSU rRNA". It matches the Rfam family "Bacterial small subunit ribosomal RNA", at positions 958 to 1400 of the family's 1533-position model. The record is from RNAcentral.
AACGCGAAGAACCUUACCAGGGCUUGACAUGCGCGCAAAACUCUCGGAAACGGGAGGUCCGCAAGGGUGCGCGCACAGGUGCUGCAUGGCUGUCGUCAGCUCGUGCCGUGAGGUGUUGGGUUAAGUCCCGCAACGAGCGCAACCCUUAUUACCAGUUGCCAUCAUUAAGUUGGGCACUCAGGUGAGACCGCCUCGGAUAACGGGGAGGAAGGCGGGGAUGACGUCAAGUCCUCAUGGCCUUUAUGUCCAGGGCUACACACGUGCUACAAUGGCCGGUACAAACCGUCGCAAACCCGUGAGGGGGAGCUAAUCGGAAAAAGCCGGCCUCAGUUCGGAUUGUAGUCUGCAACUCGACUACAUGAAGCUGGAAUCGCUAGUAAUCGCGGAUCAGAACGCCGCGGUGAAUACGUUCCCGGGCCUUGUACACACCGUGUCGA